GAUGAACGCUGGCGGCGUGCCUAAUACAUGCAAGUCGAACGAGGUGCUUUUGUAGCAAUACGAAAGUAUCCUAGUGGCGAACGGGUGAGUAACACGUUGGUGACCUGCCCCAAAGUGUGGGAUAACAGUCCGAAAGGACUGCUAAUACCGCAUGUGGUCAUGGGGUUUAGAAACCUGUGUCUAAAGCAGCAAUGCGCUUUUGGAGGGGCCUGCGUCCCAUCAGCUAGUUGGUAGGGUAACGGCCUACCAAGGCUACGACGGGUAGGGGACCUUAGAGGGUGGCCCCCCACAAUGGAACUGAAACACGGUCCAUACACCUACGGGUGGCAGCAGUAGGGAAUAUUGCACAAUGGGCGAAAGCCUGAUGCAGCAACGCCGCGUGUGCGAAGAAGGCCUUCGUGUCGUAAAGCACUUUUCUGAGAGAUGGGACAGGACAGUAUCUCAGGAAUAAGUCUCGGCUAACUACGUGCCAGCCGCCGCAGUAA
RNAcentral lists this ribosomal RNA (485 nucleotides) under uncultured bacterium. Its description in RNAcentral is "partial 16S ribosomal RNA". It matches the Rfam family "Bacterial small subunit ribosomal RNA", at positions 28 to 523 of the family's 1533-position model. The record is from RNAcentral.